This 68-nucleotide transfer RNA is filed under the name Ornithodoros coriaceus. RNAcentral describes it as "tRNA-Lys". It matches the Rfam family "tRNA". From Rfam's summary of the family: Transfer RNA (tRNA) molecules are approximately 80 nucleotides in length. Their secondary structure includes four short double-helical elements and three loops (D, anti-codon, and T loops). The record is from RNAcentral. Lineage: Eukaryota; Metazoa; Arthropoda; Arachnida; Ixodida; Argasidae.
CAUUGAAUGGCUGAAGUGAAAGCAAUGGUCUCUUAAACCACAUUAUAGUAAACAAAUACUUUCAAUGG